CUCACUUCGUUUCAUGUAGUUCGUUCUCUCGACAAGCAUGGGAGUAAAGUUUGAUGCUGCCAAAAUUUUACUUUACGUUGUAUGCUAUGAGUCUAUUUGCUAGCAAAAUCGAUCAUAGCCACCUUCUGUAGACUAUUAUUUGCUAUAAUAAUUGUCUAAACCAUGACAGAUGACACUUAACUUCUGACUUUACAUGUCUGCCGGAGUUAUUAAUGAAAAUAAGUUUAAUUAAAAUUUUAUUACAAGUGGAUAUGCUAAAUCCCUUUUUGUAAUGCUAAAUUAAUCAAUCAGUUAAUGAUUCUGUAAAUCACCGUCACAUCUAUGAGAUUUCUUCAGACAUCUAGCCUUCUGUGGCAAUCAUUUUCGAUUAUUGGCCACUACUCUUCUCCGAAGUCAUUCUCCAGCUUGUUCUCACUGUUUUUGAUAAGUCUCGGGGUACUUAUCUUCAUGGCUGAUUUGAAGGGUCAACUUCCUUCCCUUUAAGAAAGUUAAAUACACAAGCAAUCAAUCAAUCAGUAAGAGGGAAACAGUUGCUUGUUUAUCUUUGAUAAGUACGUUAAAUCUUAUGGUAAGAACAUGAACAAGUGGGGCGGAGAAUACGUCUUGAUUCAGAAACAAUUCUCACUGGAUUUCAUGAAAAUGGAACACCACAUGUGGGGCGAUGCUGCCGGCUUGCUUCCAAAAUCAGGAAGCUCUUGUAGCCAGGGAACAGCAGAAUUUAAUUCUAAGAUGGCUUGAAUUGUUCUCUUGUGAAUUAUCUGAGUAUUCAACCUUUUAUAGCGGUAAAGGAACCUCAAGACUACUGGUUCAUCUUUUUUCACUGUUGCACAGAGGGCCUCCAAGAGUAGAAUUGUCCGUGCUCCUUUUUUUUUUUUUUCAGGGUAUAGUAGGAGCUAGCCAUCGCUCUCAAAGCUAAGUUUCUUUCGGGUUAGAGAGGCCAUCCACACUCAAAGAGGUGCAUUCAUGGGAAACAUUUUUCAUGAAAAUCGUUCUUGCUUGAGGCAGAUGAUUCCCUUGGGUAAGACGGCUAUACAAAAGGCUAGGGCAUCCAUUCACGGCGUCAAUCAUGCAAGAAGAGUAAUUUCCUAACACGAAACCAAUUGUCAAGAAAGAAUACCUGCAUCCAAUGGAAUACAUUACAAGACGACUCUCCAGAAACUUCCUAUAGUUGAGGAUCUCUUGCAUUCUAGAGCUUUUUAUCUGCUACCGGUCCACAUUGACAACGUAGACAAAUAUUUCCAGCCAUUCCCUUUGGAUAAAAUUCCCAGCUAUAGAAAGGUCUAGCCCUGCAGUUGUCAACACCGCUGUUGAUAUGCAGAGGCACUUCUGCAGCGGCCACACAGACCAUUGCUUACCUUCAUAAAGCAGUUUUAACUACCAGCCCGUACAAGGCAAAGAUGUGCUGUCGCGGCCGCUUUGUGUGUGAACAUCGUCACCCUAAACCAAUCAUUGUAAGAUAUCAAACAAAUUGUCUUGCCUAACUGCAAGUGCACAGAAAGACAAGUACCUUGUGGGUAAAAAUCAUAGCAUUCUAUAACAUGUAUCGAAACCUCAACCUCUGGUUUGCAAGUUGAGGCUUAAUUUUUACAGCAAAAGAAAGAAAUGGUACAAGCACAAACAUGUUUGAGCUUUAAUCAUAAGAAACUGUGUUAGCACAUAGCAAUAGGGUUCAGCAUAUGCUUAAGCUUGUUCCUCUUCACUUCCUUAUCCCCCCCUCCCUCCUUGCCGCCUCCACCACCAGCCAAUAUGGGGCAGUUAAUCUAUCCAUGUGAUGGAUGAACACAAGUUAGUUGUCAGCGGUAAGCAUGCGAUGUCAGCAUUAGCACACUACAGCAACCAUUCAUGGAUCAACAAAGCAGAAACCAGGGUAACCAUAGACUCAACCCAGUUAGAUUAGUUACCUCAGCAAUCGCAGAGAUCUGGAAGUAUUUGGUGAAGGCUCUAGGGGAGAGGCUCUCACCAC
This is a long non-coding RNA of Populus euphratica (Euphrates poplar), 1963 nucleotides long. RefSeq lists it as uncharacterized. The transcript has 2 exons. Lineage: Eukaryota; Viridiplantae; Streptophyta; Magnoliopsida; Malpighiales; Salicaceae. The record is from RefSeq and is a predicted model, not a curated record.